AUGAUUUCCUUAGUAACGGCGAGUGAAGAGGAAAAAGCUCAAAGUUGUAACCUAUUUGGCUUAGCCAAAUCGGAUUGUAGACUGGAGAAGUGUUUUAUGGCACGCCGAGUGAAAAAGUCCCUUGGAACAGGGCAUCAUAGAGGGUGAGAAUCCCGUGAAUUCACUUGAGUAUAUGUUGUCAACUUUAAUACACUUUCAAAGAGUCAGGUUGUUUGGGAAUGCAGCCUAAAUUGGGUGGUAAAUCUCACCUAAAGCUAAAUAUUGGCGAGAGACCGAUAGCGAACAAGUACCGUGAGGGAAAGAUGAAAAGAACUUUGAAAAGAGAGUUAAACAGUACGUGAAAUUGUUAAAAGGGAACCGUUUGGAGCCAGACCGGCUUUAUCGUAAUCAAUCUAGGUUUCGACCUGGAUGCACUUGCGGUAGAUUUGCCUGCCAACGACAGUUUUUUUUGAGGGAAAAAACUAGGAGGAAUGUGGCCCUUAACUUGUUAGGGGUGUUAUAGCCUUUUAGAAAAUACCUUGAAUUGGACUGAGGAACGCAGCGAAUGCUCUUUAGGGCGAAAUUAGUUGAGUGCUUUGGCUGAUAGAUGCUAGAAUUUCUGCUUCGGGUGGUGCUAGUGUUUAAAGGUUAAACUCGCUUGAUUUAUUUUUUAUUCGCUUAGGUUGUUGGCUUAAUGACUCUAAAUGAC
This 688-nucleotide ribosomal RNA is filed under the name Cokeromyces recurvatus. Its description in RNAcentral is "eukaryotic LSU rRNA". It matches the Rfam family "Eukaryotic large subunit ribosomal RNA", at positions 71 to 648 of the family's 3401-position model. Lineage: Eukaryota; Fungi; Mucoromycota; Mucoromycetes; Mucorales; Mucoraceae. The record is from RNAcentral.